This 253-nucleotide ribosomal RNA is filed under the name uncultured bacterium. RNAcentral describes it as "partial 16S ribosomal RNA". It matches the Rfam family "Bacterial small subunit ribosomal RNA", at positions 524 to 776 of the family's 1533-position model. The record is from RNAcentral.
UACGUAGGCAGCAAGCGUUGUUCGGAGUUACUGGGCGUAAAGAGUGCGUAGGUGGUGCCCUAAGUCUGUUGUGAAAUCUCCCGGCUUAACUGGGAGGGUGCGGUGGAAACUGGGGUGCUUGAGUGUGGGAGAGGUAAGCGGAAUUCCUGGUGUAGCGGUGAAAUGCGUAGAUAUCGGGAGGAACACCAGUGGCGAAGGCGGGUCUCUGGGCCGAUACUGACGCUGAGGAGCGAAAGCGUGGGGAGCGAACAGG